UACGUAGGUGGCGAGCGUUGUCCGGAUUUAUUGGGCGUAAAGCGCCCGCAGGCGGCUUGAUAAGUUUCAGGUGAAAUCUCCCGGCUCAACUGGGAGAGGUCCUGGAAAACUGUCAGGCUUGAGGCAGGGAGAGGGAUGUGGAAUUCCCGGUGUAGUAGUGAAAUGCGUAGAUAUCGGGAGGAACACCUGUGGCGAAAGCGGCUCACUGGACCACAACUGACGCUGAGGCGCGAAAGCUAGGGGAGCAAACAGG
Molecule: ribosomal RNA, 253 nt
Filed under: uncultured bacterium
Lineage: Bacteria
Description: partial 16S ribosomal RNA
Rfam family: Bacterial small subunit ribosomal RNA
Source: RNAcentral